AGUUUGAUCAUGGCUCAGAUUGAACGCUGGCGGCAUGCCUUACACAUGCAAGUCGAACGGCAGCACGGGUGCUUGCACCUGGUGGCGAGUGGCGAACGGGUGAGUAAUACAUCGGAACGUACCUUAUCGUGGGGGAUAACGCAGCGAAAGCUGUGCUAAUACCGCAUACGCCCUGAGGGGGAAAGCGGGGGAUCGAAAGACCUCGCGCGAUUAGAGCGGCCGAUGCCUGAUUAGCUUGUUGGUGGGGUAAAAGCCCACCAAGGCGACGAUCAGUAGCUGGUCUGAGAGGACGAUCAGCCACACUGGGACUGAGACACGGCCCAGACUCCUACGGGAGGCAGCAGUGGGGAAUUUUGGACAAUGGGGGAAACCCUGAUCCAGCAAUGCCGCGUGAGUGAAGAAGGCCUUCGGGUUGUAAAGCUCUUUUGUCAGGGAAGAAACACCGGCUCUAACACAGUCCGGGAAUGACGGUACCUGAAGAAUAAGCACCGGCUAACUACGUGCCAGCAGCCGCGGUAAUACGUAGGGUGCGAGCGUUAAUCGGAAUUACUGGGCGUAAAGCGUGCGCAGGCGGUUAUACAAGACAGGCGUGAAAUCCC
Molecule: ribosomal RNA, 599 nt
Filed under: uncultured bacterium
Lineage: Bacteria
Description: bacterial SSU rRNA
Rfam family: Bacterial small subunit ribosomal RNA
Source: RNAcentral